Molecule: ribosomal RNA, 331 nt
Filed under: uncultured bacterium
Lineage: Bacteria
Description: bacterial SSU rRNA
Rfam family: Bacterial small subunit ribosomal RNA
Source: RNAcentral
UGCGUAGACGGUUAUGUAAGUCGGGUGUGAAAGCCCCGGGCUCAACCUGGGAAUUGCAUUCGAGACUGCAUAGCUAGGGUGCGGAAGAGGGAAGCGGAAUUUCCGGUGUAGCGGUGAAAUGCGUAGAUAUCGGAAGGAACACCAGUGGCGAAAGCGGCUUCCUGGUCCAGCACCGACGUUCAGGCACGAAAGCGUGGGGAGCAAACAGGAUUAGAUACCCUGGUAGUCCACGCCAUAAACGAUGAGAACUAGACGUUGAGAGGGUAAGCCUCGCAGUGUCGUAGCUAACGCGCUAAGUUCUCCGCCUGGGGAGUACGGCCGCAAGGUUGAA